GCCGCUGUUCUCCUGGGGUAGCUCAGUUGGUAGAGCUUGAGACUGUUAAGCUCAGAGUCGUGGGUUCAAGUCUCACAUUGGGCA
Molecule: non-coding RNA, 84 nt
Organism: Podarcis lilfordi (Lilford's wall lizard)
Lineage: Eukaryota; Metazoa; Chordata; Lepidosauria; Squamata; Lacertidae
Source: the annotation of a GenBank genome assembly